GACGAACGCUGGCGGCGUGCUUAACACAUGCAAGUCGAACGGAAAGGCCCUGCUCUUGUGGGGUGCUCGAGUGGCGAACGGGUGAGUAACACGUGUGUAACCUGCCCCUGACUUUGGGAUAACUUCUGGAAACUGGGGCUAAUACCGGAUAGGAGCUCCUGAUGCAUGGUGGGGGUUGGAAAGUUUCGGCGGUUGGGGAUGGACUCGCGGCUUCUCAGCUUGUUGGUGAGGUAGUGGCUGACCAAGGCUUUGACGGAUAGCCGGCCUGAGAGGGUGACCGGCGACAAGGGGACUGAGGGACGGCGCAGUAGCGAACGGGAGGCAGCAGUGGAAAGUAUUGCGCAGUGGGCGGAAGCCUGAGACAGCAGCGCCGCGAGCGUGAUGACGGCCUUCGAGGUAUAAACCGCUGUCGCCGGUAACAAGGCGGGAGUGACGGUAAUGGGUAAGGAAGCACCGGCUAACUACGUG
This 468-nucleotide ribosomal RNA is filed under the name uncultured bacterium. RNAcentral's name for it is "partial 16S ribosomal RNA". It matches the Rfam family "Bacterial small subunit ribosomal RNA", at positions 28 to 507 of the family's 1533-position model. The record is from RNAcentral.